RNAcentral lists this ribosomal RNA (457 nucleotides) under uncultured bacterium. RNAcentral describes it as "bacterial SSU rRNA". It matches the Rfam family "Bacterial small subunit ribosomal RNA", at positions 28 to 471 of the family's 1533-position model. The record is from RNAcentral.
GACGAACGCUGGCGGCGUGCCUAAUACAUGCAAGUAGAACGCUGAAGGAGGAGCUUGCUUCUCUGGAUGAGUUGCGAACGGGUGAGUAACGCGUAGGUAACCUGCCUGGUAGCGGGGGAUAACUAUUGGAAACGAUAGCUAAUACCGCAUAAUAUUGACUAUUGCAUGAUAGUCAAUUAAAAGGUGCAAUUGCAUCACUACCAGAUGGACCUGCGUUGUAUUAGCUAGUUGGUGAGGUAACGGCUCACCAAGGCGACGAUACAUAGCCGACCUGAGAGGGUGAUCGGCCACACUGGGACUGAGACACGGCCCAGACUCCUACGGGAGGCAGCAGUAGGGAAUCUUCGGCAAUGGACGGAAGUCUGACCGAGCAACGCCGCGUGAGUGAAGAAGGUUUUCGGAUCGUAAAGCUCUGUUGUAAGAGAAGAACGAGUGUGAGAGNGGAAAGUUCACACNG